UGGGUCCAGAAUUUUAAAGGAAAGUAGUGAUUUGGUCCAGCUGGAAAAGGUUAAAAAUUAGCACUUCGGAAGCUGUCAAAAGAUUUCAAGACGCCCUAAACAUAAAAUUGUCCAUAUUUUGAGUUAGAGCCGAUGAAGUUUUCUAUAAUUUUGAUAUAAUUUGUCCCAAAAGUAGUACAACACACUGUAAAAAUUUCAUUCAGAAAGCGCAGGUGGGAUUUUUUU
Molecule: long non-coding RNA, 225 nt
Filed under: Mytilus galloprovincialis (Mediterranean mussel)
Lineage: Eukaryota; Metazoa; Mollusca; Bivalvia; Mytilida; Mytilidae
Source: RNAcentral